Molecule: ribosomal RNA, 473 nt
Filed under: uncultured bacterium
Lineage: Bacteria
Description: bacterial SSU rRNA
Rfam family: Bacterial small subunit ribosomal RNA
Source: RNAcentral
GAUUAUGGCUCAGAACGAACGCUGGCGGCAGGUCUUAGGCAUGCAAGUCGAACGGAUGACAAGGGAGCUUGCUCCUUGAAGUCAGUGGCGCACGAGUGAGUAACGCGUGGGAAACUGCCCUUCACUGGGGAAUAACGUUUGGAAACGAACGCUAAUACCGCAUACGCCCGCAAGGGGAAAGAUUUAUCGGUGAUGGAUGUGCCCGCGUUGGAUUAGCUAGUUGGUGGGGUAAUGGCCUACCAAGGCGAUGAUCCAUAGCUGGUCUGAGAGGACGAUCAGCCACGCUGGAACUGAGACACGGUCCAGACUCCUACGGGAGGCAGCAGCUAAGAAUAUUGGGCAAUGGAGGAAACUCUGACCCAGCCCAUGCCGCGUGAAUGAAGAAGGCCUUCGGGUUGUAAAGUUCUUUUAGUCAUGAAGAUGAUGACAGUAGUGACAGAAAAAGCACCGGCUAACUUCGUGCCAGCAGCGGC